UGGGGAAUUUUGGACAAUGGGCGAAAGCCUGAUCCAGCAAUGCCGCGUGUGUGAAGAAGGCCUUCGGGUUGUAAAGCACUUUUGUCCGGAAAGAAAUCCUUGGCUCUAAUACAGUCGGGGGAUGACGGUACCGGAAGAAUAAGCACCGGCUAACUACGUGCCAGCAGCCGCGGUAAUACGUAGGGUGCAAGCGUUAAUCGGAAUUACUGGGCGUAAAGCGUGCGCAGGCGGUUUGCUAAGACCGAUGUGAAAUCCCCGGGCUCAACCUGGGAACUGCAUUGGUGACUGGCAGGCUAGAGUAUGGCAGAGGGGGGUAGAAUUCCACGUGUAGCAGUGAAAUGCGUAGAGAUGUGGAGGAAUACCGAUGGCGAAGGCAGCCCCCUGGGCCAAUACUGACGCUCAUGCACGAAAGCGUGGGGAGCAAAACAGGAUUAGAUACCCUGGUAGUCCACGCCCUAAACGAUGUCAACUAGUUGUUGGGGAUUCAUUCCUUAGUAACGUAGCUAACGCGUGAAGUUGACCGCCUGGGGAGUACGGUCGCAAGAUUAAAACUUAAAUGAAUUGACGGGGUCAUAGCUGUUUCCU
RNAcentral lists this ribosomal RNA (585 nucleotides) under uncultured bacterium. RNAcentral's name for it is "partial 16S ribosomal RNA". It matches the Rfam family "Bacterial small subunit ribosomal RNA", at positions 355 to 1375 of the family's 1533-position model. The record is from RNAcentral.